Ochotona princeps (American pika) is the source of this 111-nucleotide small nucleolar RNA. Its record names the gene SNORA74. It matches the Rfam family "Small nucleolar RNA SNORA74". From Rfam's summary of the family: U19 belongs to the H/ACA class of snoRNAs. snoRNAs bind a number of proteins (including dyskerin, Gar1p and Nop10p in the case of the H/ACA class) to form snoRNP complexes. This class are thought to guide the sites of modification of uridines to pseudouridines by forming direct base pairing interactions with substrate RNAs. Targets may include ribosomal and spliceosomal RNAs but the exact functions of many snoRNAs, including U19, are not confirmed. NCBI's taxonomy places the organism in Eukaryota, Metazoa, Chordata, Mammalia, Lagomorpha, Ochotonidae. The record is from Ensembl.
CCCAGCUGUAGGCAACUGCCUAGGUUGUAUUGUACCUCGGCAAGUGUUACUCUCCUGGGAGAAAAGCAGCCAAUAGCUGGCAGGCAUUCUGGACCUGGUUAAUGUCACAUU